AUCCCAGUUCGGAUCGCAGGCUGCAACCCGCCUGCGUGAAGUUGGAAUCGCUAGUAAUCGCGGAUCAGCAUGCCGCGGUGAAUACGUUCCCGGGCCUUGCACACACCGCCCGUCACACCAUGAGAGUCGGGAACACCCGAAGUCCGUAGCCUAACCGCAAGGGGGGCGCGGCCGAAGGUGGGUUCGAUAAUUGGGGUGAAGUCGUAACAAGGUAAC
This 216-nucleotide ribosomal RNA is filed under the name uncultured bacterium. RNAcentral's name for it is "partial 16S ribosomal RNA". It matches the Rfam family "Bacterial small subunit ribosomal RNA", at positions 1285 to 1500 of the family's 1533-position model. The record is from RNAcentral.